AGAACGAACGCUGGCGGCAUGCCUAAUACAUGCAAGUCGAACGAACACUUCGGUGUUAGUGGCGCACGGGUGCGUAACGCGUGGGAAUCUGCCCUUGGGUUCGGAAUAACAGUUGGAAACGACUGCUAAUACCGGAUGAUGACGAAAGUCCAAAGAUUUAUCGCCCAGGGAUGAGCCCGCGUAGGAUUAGCUAGUUGGUGAGGUAAAGGCUCACCAAGGCGACGAUCCUUAGCUGGUCUGAGAGGAUGAUCAGCCACACGUGGGACUGAGACACGGCCCAGACUCGUACGGGAGCAGCAGUA
Molecule: ribosomal RNA, 302 nt
Filed under: uncultured soil bacterium
Lineage: Bacteria
Description: bacterial SSU rRNA
Rfam family: Bacterial small subunit ribosomal RNA
Source: RNAcentral